GAUGAACGCUGGCGGCGUGCCUAAUACAUGCAAGUCGAGCGAACAGACGAGGAGCUUGCUCCUCUGACGUUAGCGGCGGACGGGUGAGUAACACGUGGAUAACCUACCUAUAAGACUGGGAUAACUUCGGGAAACCGGAGCUAAUACCGGAUAAUAUAUUGAACCGCAUGGUUCAAUAGUGAAAGACGGUUUUGCUGUCACUUAUAGAUGGAUCCGCGCCGCAUUAGCUAGUUGGUAAGGUAACGGCUUACCAAGGCAACGAUGCGUAGCCGACCUGAGGGGGUGAUCGGCCACACUGGAACUGAGACACGGUCCAGACUCCUACGGGAGGCAGCAGUAGGGAAUCUUCCGCAAUGGGCGAAAGCUUGACGGAGCAACGCCGCGUGAGUGAUGAAGGUCUUUGGAUCGUAAAACUCUGUUAUUAGGGAAGAACAAAUGUGUAAGUAACUAUGCACGUCUUGACGGUACCUAAUCAGAAAGCCACGGCUAACUACGUG
This 497-nucleotide ribosomal RNA is filed under the name uncultured bacterium. RNAcentral's name for it is "partial 16S ribosomal RNA". It matches the Rfam family "Bacterial small subunit ribosomal RNA", at positions 28 to 507 of the family's 1533-position model. The record is from RNAcentral.